CAUCUGUAAGACAAGCCCAAGUACAAAGCUCAAAAUCACAGAGCAAGAAACAAUUUUAGAAAUACCGUAGACAUCAACGUAUUGUCAGACUCGGGUAAAAGAUGCUUCAAUGAUUUUGACAUACAUCAGCACCGGCAUCAUGUUCGUUUACAGCAGUCUACUGGAAUUAACAUGAAAUAGACUUAUGACUGCUAAUCAGUUUUUGAGAAAUAGAAUACUAUGAGGUCAAAGCAGGACUCACCUGUCCUCAUUACUUUUCCUUCCACUGGGUUCAGUGUAUUGAAGAUGGCAUCAUACUCCACACGCUUCUUGCUGAUGAUCCACUCUAUAUCGCCUGCGCCGGCAUCGACCCCUUCUCCGCGUUUGUAACCAAAUGGUCCGAGCGUGCUGCCCACAACUUCGAAUGCUCCGCCUGGACAAAUGUCAUGUAUCCAUUGUCACUGAUGCAGUAACUGAAUCUAACCCCAGUCAUAAGCUGAAUACACUCAAAACAGAAAAUUAAACAUCAAUAAAAAUUUCUAAAUCCAAGAUAAAAAAACGUCUGUGACAAUUUCAGCAUUUACAUUAAGAAUUAAUAACAAAUUAUUUCAUAAAUCAUAACAGUGACCCAUUUCUUCAUUCAUUUACUUUAAUAUUUGGUGUAAAACUGUUACCAAUUCAUGAAGAAUAAAAUGUAAGAGAAAUCACAAAUAAAACAAGUAAAUACAUAAUCA
Molecule: long non-coding RNA, 713 nt
Organism: Zootermopsis nevadensis
Lineage: Eukaryota; Metazoa; Arthropoda; Insecta; Blattodea; Termopsidae
Source: RefSeq, a predicted model, not a curated record